GAUAAUGUAAAAUCAAAUUUAUAUAAUAAUAUUUGGAAUACAACAAUGUACUUCUCUUGCGGUAUUUAGAACGCAAUGUUUAAAAAGUAUAGAUAUAUAUAUUUAUAGCCAAUUAGCCAAUAAAUAGACGGUUAUUCGUAAAGUGUUAUAUUAUUUUUAUUGUAUCAUUUUUUUAGGAAUUCCGAUGAAACGUUUUAAUACAAAAAGCUGAACAAAAUCACAAGCACCACUUUAGUUAUACGUAUAAAAACAUUUAUAUUUAUUCUACUUCAAUAUUUAAAUUAAUACGUUUAUAGAUAUAAAUAAUUAUAACGUUUGUACAUAAAAUUAUUUAAUAACUUCAUUAUUAUACUACUUAUAAGAUGUUGUUUAAUGAAAUUUGUAAUUUAUUGAACAUGUGUAAUUAAGCUUACAUAACAUAUAUAUGACACUUUAUAUAGCAGCUUUAUUUUAAAAUAAUUAAAUUUUGACCAAAUAAUUAAAAUAUUAAUAAUUUCAAGACAUAUUUAUAAUUUUGUAAUUACUCGUAAUCAAUGUGUAAAUAAGAUUAUUUAAAUAAUUUGGCUUUGCGCUGAGGCUCGUUAUAUACAUGCAUGAUACAAUAAUGAUUAUAAAAAGUUAUGAUAUCGAUAAUGACUGCAAAUGCGCAAAUACAGCAGAUGACAGAACACAGCUCGUAUUACGCACAAUCUUUGUGAAAACAUUUGUACGAAGCUUUACACACACAGGCACACAACACACACACACACAUAUUCCUUAAUAACGUGAAUAUCGCUCAUGCUAGUCGAUGCGAGACAUCCGCAUCUGGGAAGAAUAUUGCAAUCAGUUGUAACCAGACAUUUCACCGCGUAAUAAAUUAUACUCGACCACUCGUUGUGUCCACAACGCUAAUUGGAUGCUGAAGCGGAGUACAAACGUUCGAGAUUUCUGCAAUCUUUGAAUCGUUUUGUAAAGCGCUUUGUCCUUUAAUUGUAUUGCGCGAUACACAUUGAAAUUGUUAAAAUUAAUUAAUUGACAAUUUAACUAAAACAUCUUUACUUCUAUUAACUUAAAUUUUAUGUUUGUAAAUCUAAUUUGUUAUUAAUCUUUUUUAAGUUUAUUUUUUGAAAACGUUGGAAAAUAUGUUUGUUGAUUAAAAUAAUUAUAACUUUCAUGAUAAUAUAAAGAAUUAAGUUUACUUGAUAUUAAUUGCAAUUUGCUAUUAAAGAACAAAUCACUACACGAAUUUAAACUUGCAGACUUCGGAGUUUGCGCAUUUGAUAACAAUUUAAUGGUAGGCUAAAGUGAAGAUUACGUGUUUUGAAUAUAGAAAUAUAGGAAUGUUUUUUAAUCUUAAGCAGGAAUAUAUUAUCCAUAAUGAGUGUUCAAGUCAAUUAUUUUGUAGUGCUUUAUAUUAAAGCCCAUCUGCGAACGAAGGACGCAAAGAAGGAGGAAACAAUUCAGUAAGAGAGAGAGAAUGGUAAAAAGAUCAACAAAUAUAAGCAGAGGGGCAGUAAGGGGCAAAAGGAGCUGGAGGGAAGAAAUGCGAAGAAAAAGGAAAAGCUGUGUACACAAUGAAAGCUGAGAGAGGACAGCGUAAAAUUUUUUUAUUACUUUGUUUAGACACUUUACAUAGAAAAUGAAAAUUUUAAUUUUAUAAAUAAAAAAAGACAAACGCGCGAUUAAAUAAUCUAAAAAAAUAUUUUUAUAAUUCUCUUAAUUAAUUUAUUACAAAUUAUCAAUGUACUACUUCAUUUUAUUAAUAUCCUAUUUUUCUGUCCAUACACACAUACAUUGCGCACAAUUUGUAUGAAUAUAUUCUAUGUCUAUUAUUAUGUUUUUAAUAAUACAAUUUUUUAAUGUAAAAUAAAUACAUGAACAGCAUCAGAUUAUUUAAGUCUUGUUUAAUUUUAUAUCUAAAAGAUACAGUUACCCACUAAUGAAACAAGUGUAAAAUACCGUGUGGAAGACUGCACGUAUAUGAGCGUAGUGAUUUAGACAGAAAGAUAAAUAUAUGGAAAGUGCGAUAAAGCAGAUAGCAAGGCGGAUAGAUAGACGAACAGAGAGGGGGUGGUUAACGAGAUAGGGCGAUAGAGAGAGAACGA
Monomorium pharaonis (pharaoh ant) is the source of this 2084-nucleotide long non-coding RNA. RefSeq lists it as uncharacterized. The transcript is spliced from 2 exons. The record is from RefSeq and is a predicted model, not a curated record. NCBI's taxonomy places the organism in Eukaryota, Metazoa, Arthropoda, Insecta, Hymenoptera, Formicidae.